AACUUUCUUAAUCAUUUCUAGAAGAACAACAUCUUUGUUAUAUACUUGCAGGUGAUUAAUUAACAUGGACAAAGUAGUUGUAUCGGCCGAGAAUCCCCUUUUGUACAUUUCCUCUAAGAAUGACAUGGCCUUGUAAACCUCUUUCCUCUUUAGCAAACCUUGGAUUAUGUUGUUGUAUGUCACGCUAUUCGGUGCACAACCGCUUCUUUCCAUUUUCACAAGCAAAUCUUUUGCCUCGUCUACAAAUCCUUCUUCACAAAGUGAACCAAUAACAAUGGUAUACGCUUGACAAUUUGGUUGCAAACCUUUCGAAGGAAGUUCGUAUAAAAGCUUUUUUGCAUCUUCAAGUUUCCCAUCUUUGCACAAACCACUAAUCAGGAUACCGUAUGUGACUAUAUUAGGACUUACUCCUUUGUCUUCCAUCGUCUUUAGAAACGAAAAUGCUUCGGCAAUCUGACGAGUCUUACACAAGCCUUCCAACAAAACAUUGUAAGUAUGUAAAUUGGGACGUACGUGCCGAGCUUCCAUAUCCUUAAACAAAUUCCAUCCAUCAGCAUUUCGGCCUUCAGUUAAUAAUCCAUGUAUCAUGGUGCUGUACGUAACUGUCGUGUGCUCCAAGCCUUUAGAAGAAGCUUCUAGAAAAAGACGCCAAGCUUCAUCCACUUUACCCUUCUUGCAGUAUCCGUUGAUUAAAGUGCCGUAGCUCAUAAUACAUGGCUUAAGACCAUUGCCCGUUAGAGAAUCAAAUACUUGUUUCGCUUUAUCCAUUUUCCCUUGCAAACAAUACCCAUCUAUCAGUGCAUUAUAUGUGACAAUAUCAGGACUAAUGUUUUGUUGCGUCAUAAUUUUCAAAACAUCUUCAGCCUCUUUAACAUUUCCUUCCUUGCAAAAUGAGUCCACUAAUAUAUUGAAAGUAACAACAGUUAAACAAAUCUUGUGGUUGACCAUUUCAUCCAAUAAGUCUUUGACCUCUUUCCAUCUACCAAAAUCGCACAAGCCCUGAAUCAUCGAGUUAUAUGUGACAACAGUGGGUGAUAUGCCCUUAUCAAUCAUUCUAGACUUCAGCUAGAGUGCGUUAUCUACCGUUCCGGUCUUGCAUAAGCCAUUAAUUACCGCAUUAUAAGCUUUAACAUUGGGCUUAUAGAUACUCUUUUCCAAUAACAAAAGCAAAUCAUGGGCAACAAGAACAUGUCCAGCUUUGCAGAGCCCAUCUAUCACAGUAAGAAUCGUAACAUCGUUUGGCUCGGCGCAAAGUUUCAAAGUCAAAAGCUGCUUAAACAAUUUCUCCGCCUCGGCCACCUUACCAUCUAAAAAGAGCCCUUUUAGUAGAGUGUUGAAUGUCACAACAUUUGCAUUGUAGCCCUGUUUAAAGAAGAUGCCGAACACAGCAAAACCAACGUCUACGCGUUUCAAAAGGCAACAGCAAUUAAUUAAGAUGGCCAUUGUGUACUCAUUUACAGGGGCAGCCCAUUGACGCAUUUCAUCGAACAGUUGAAGGGCAACCGAGUAUUGUUUCAUCUUUACAAUAACUUGCAAUUGUUUGGUGAAUUCAAAAACGGGGGGCUGCGGCCGCAUUCUCACCAUUUUGCGAAAGAAGAAAAUGGCGUCAUCUACUUCACUUGCACAGCUCAAAUCUCUUGGCUAUGAAAAUUUAAAGAAAAGAAAGAGAAUACCAUAAUUAGGAGAAGAUUUAGCAGAAAUUGCUCUACGAAUAGGAGGCGCUAUUGCAGAAAUUCUCAUCUUCUUAAAGCGAUUUUUGUGAAGAAAAUUCUACUGCAGUGCAAAAUGAAGUUGCACAAAGGUGCAGUCUGUUGUUUAAUGGUUAUAAAUUAUAAUUGACUAAUUACAUCUAGACCCCUUCAAAAUAGUAUAAUUACAAAGAAAUUUUAUUGACUCUAAAUUUUGCAACUAUCAUUAUGCAUUUAACUUCUCUCUAAGUUUGUUUUAAUAAAAGGGUUUAUUGCAAUUAGUACCCAUGUCUGUAUUAUUUAUGAUUCAAAUUUUGUUAGCACACAAGUACAAACCCUGACCGGGAGUUAGAGGGGUACUAACUGCAAAAAAAAAACUAAAUCAUGGGGUGUUUUGCGAAUAAAAUAACAUGGGAUAGUUUUUUUAGCAAUUGGAUGUAACUGGGAAAAUUACAUUUUACGUCGUCAUACUUUACCCACUUUUUCAAAACUGUCCCUAAACAUUUUGGAGUUACAAUAGUAGUCCUUAAUCAUGCCAAUUUUUGACAUAAUUGGUCCGCCGUUUAUUUUGCAGUUUAGUUGGAUGGAAAAUGGCAUGUGCCUCUCACAUGCCUUCAAUAUACAACACUACAUGAAAAUUGACUUUUAACAAAACGCAUUGCGUCUUGUUAAAACAAAUUUUUCAUAAUUAAAACUUGAUUGAAAUUCAUAAUUACAUAAAUUCCAAGAAAACAAAAUCGAUAUAUAUUGUUUUAAAAUAUUUUGAGAAAUAUUCUUUAAACAAUUGAAACAUUGUUUUAAAAAAAAUGAAAUAUUGCUUUCAAAAUCAAGAUUUUCGGAAUUUAAAGGAAAACAUUGUUUCAAAAUAAAAUAAAAUUUCGAUCCGAAUAGGUGGGAUAAGAAACCCCCAUUUCAAUCUUCACCCUAAUUUAAUAAUUUAAAACUCGAUAAAUUGUUUCAAAAUAUUUUUAGAAGUAUUGUCUAAAAUAAUAAUAUAAUGUUUUAAAACCGGGAUUUCUUGAAUCCAAAUGAAAAUUAUUGUUUUAGAUAAAAUAAAAAUCUGAUCGUAUAAGGCGAAGUAAGAAAACUCAGUUCCAAUUUUCACACUUAUUUAAUAAUCUAAAACUGGAUAUUUUUUUCAAAAUAAAUUAAGAAAUAUUGUUUAAAAAAUCAUAAUAUUGUCUAAAAAAUAAUAUCGUGUUUUAAAAUCGGAAUUUUUGGAAAUUGAAUGAAAAUAUUAUUUUAAAAUAAAAUAAAAAUUCGAUCAAAUUAGGCAGCAUAAGAAAACUCCUUUCCAAUUUUCACCCAUAUUGAAUGAUUUAAAACUCGACAUAUUGUCACACAAUUGGAAUUUUUGGAAUUGACUAGAGGUGAAAAUUGGAAUGGAGAUUUCUAAUUCCCCAAUUCCUAUCGGGUUUUUUAAUUUGGCUUGAAACGAUAUAUUUUAAUUGAAUUCCAAAAAUGCAGAUUUUGGAACAAUAUUUUAAAAAUUUAAACUAUAUUUUGAUUUUUUAAACAAUAUUUCCGAAACGAGUUGAUUUUUUUGGAAUUUACGUGAUUUCGAUUUCUAUAUUAAAUUUUAAUUAAAAAUAAUAAUUAUAAAAACUAUGUUUUAACAAGACGCAAUGCGUUUUGUUGAAAGUCCAUUUUCAUGUAGUGUUGUAAAUUGAAGGCACGUGAGAGGCACGUGUCAUUUUUCAUCCAACUUAACUGCAAAAAUUAACGCCGGACCAAUUCUGUCAAAAAAUGGCAUGAUUAAGGACAAGGACUACUAUUGUAACUCCAAAAUGUGUAGGGACAGUUUUGAAAAAGUGGGAAAAGUAUGAGGACGAAAAAUGUAAUUUUCCUGGAUGUAACACAAGAGUACUAAUUGCAUUAAACUUCUAAUAAGGGUAAAAGAUAGCUUGAUGGAAAACAAAUUUGGUUAAGCUACUAGCAACACAGUAAAGGGGGAGAACUAUUAUGAGCACAAACACUUCGCACAUUUUCUUGAUGUCAAGAGUUUUUAUGAUCCAACAAGGCAAGCCCAUUACUUAACCCAAGAAAACAUCGCAUUUUGGGAACACAUAUAUAAAUUAGGAUGUAUAUGCCAAAUUUCCAUAUCAUAACAAAGUUUGAAUUUGUUAUCAACUUCUGAAAAUAUUGACAUUUUGUCAAAAGGGUUAAUUCCGCCCCCUAAAUUCUUUCUUUCUAAUAGGCAAAAAGACUAUGAUGCCCCUUACAUACAAUUUUUGCCCUAAAUGCAUUCAACAUUUCCACCAAGUGCAUUUAGCAUUUUUGUUUUAUUUUUUAAUAAAUUUUUUAUUUAAAAAUAAUAAAAUAUACAUUUUAUUUUCUUAAAAAAAAAUCUGAUUUUUUUUCCCGAAAAGUUUACAUACUAUUUCGAAUAUGAUUAUAGUCAACUAUAGUCAUAUCCUUGCUUCAUAUAUCGUUUUUUAUAUUUUCAACUUAAAAUUGUAUAUUCUCGAUUAUAUAAUGUAGCUCAGUCAUAUUAAACAAAUUAUAAAAAAAAAGACUAUUAUUUAUGAAAUAAUCAAUCAAAAAAAAAAAAAAAAAAAAAAAAAAAAAAUCAUAAUUUGAAUCUUGUUAUUACAAGUCAACUUGUAUUCCCACAAUAUGUAUCCAAUCUGAAAUGCUAAAUCUCACACUAUUUUUACUAAAUCAUGCACAUAACUAAAAAUAUUUAUCUCUCUAAAAUCUUCUCUUCGCCUUCCUCAUCCUUCUUUUUCCAUAACUUUUUCACAAAAUCACACACUAAAAACAUUCUUAGAAUUCCAAGUUCGAAUUUGAAAAAAAAAUUCACAUGUUCAAACUAAAAUAAAGUUGGAAUUUGAGAAAAAAAAAAUCGAAUUCAUACGAAUUUGAAUAAUUAAAAAUAUUUAAUGAAAUUGAAUAAAUAUUAAAUAAAAUGGAACUCAUUUUUUAUGAUUAUUCACGUAAAAAAUAAUGAAUUUUGAGUGACUUGGAUAAAGUCAUUUUAGAGAGAAGUUAGAAAAAAAUUGAGUAGAGAGAGAUUUUUUUUUUAAUUUAUGUGUGGGAUAUAGUAAAUUUUAGUGUAGAAUUUAGCAUGGCCCAUUCAAGAUUCACAUGUGUAAAAUUUUCAACUAAAACAACCGUCAGCAUAUCUUAUAUAUAACUAUACAUGACUUUAUAUAUAACUAUACAUGACUACAUAGUUGAUUCUCUCUAAUUGGCAUGUUGUUAUCCAUGUUCUUCAACAUAAAAUUUUUAUUGCUGCAACUAAAUUUUACACCAGAAAACACCAAAAAACAGACUAAGAUCGAGAGGAGAUAGACGAAUAGGGAGAAAGAUACUUUAACCUCAUAAUUUGGCGGCGGCGGAGGACUCAAAAUGAUUGAUCAAACCACAACCACACAAAAAUCUAAAAAAAUGAAAAAGUACCCAAAAAAUUAAUAUACCCUUACUUUGGUCUCCGAUCUCGCGGCGGCGGCAAAAACUCAACAACGUCUUCCCUGACUUUGGCCUCUAAUCUCACGGCGACAGAGACAGAGGACUCCACAAAUUCCGAGGAGCGGCACUAGACGGAGGGGGAGCGGCGCUUAAAGGGUGGAGGGUUUGUGAGUUAACCUGUUUCAACACAUUGAAGAUGUCGAUCUUGUACGUCUCCACGUUCUUCUUUGUCCUCUUCUUCUUCUCUCCGCCGACGACCACCUUCUUUUCUGCCUUGGGAGCCAUUUUUUGUCGCUGAAAUUUGACGAGAAAGAGUUAGAGAGAGAGAGAUGAAGAGAUGUAACGGCGUGAGGAAGAGGAAGAGAGAAGGUUACGGGUUAGGGCAUUUCAAGCUAAAGGGCAAAACAGGUACAGUUACCCAGUUGGGAGGUCUCACAAAUUAACGUCAAAAUUUGGUUUUUUUUACUAGGACGAAAAAAAUUAUUGGACCUCCUCGUAUAUAUUUUCAAAACUAACGGUAUCACUCAUUUACCCCUUAAGAAUAUCUAUUAGAGAAUCCAUAGAAAGAAAAGAAAUAAAUGACUAUACAAAGUUCAAUUAUCCAUAUGUUUGAUAAAUGAAUCCUUAAGCACACAUCAAAAUUUUUCUCUUCUUUCUAGUCAAAAUACCGACGGCUUGUUAUCUUUCCUACGCCACUCAUCCACCGAAAACCGACGGAUUGCGACAACCGAAAAACUCACAAGUCAGAAGUACAUAUACAGAUGUUGUAUACCUGCAAAAAUAAUAAAUAAGCAAAACCUUAUUAAAUUUCAGAAGCCCAAAUAAUUAAUUUAGAUUUUUGGCACAACUUUCUUCAUCAUCUCCAGAAGAAUAUCGUCUUUGUUUGAUCCUUGCACGUGAUUAAUUAACAAGGAUGAAGUAGAUGCGUCGGCAUAGAAUCCCCUUUUGUGCAUGUCCUCUAAGAACGGGAUUGCCUUGUAAACCUCUUUCUUCUUUAGCAAACCCUGAAUUAUGUUGUUAUACAUCACACUAUCCGGUGCACACCCACUCCUCUCCAUUUGCACAAGCAAAUCUUUUGCCUUGUCUACAGACCCUUCUCGGCAAAGUGAACCAAGAAUAACGGUAUAUAUUUUAAUAUUAGGUUGCAAACCUUUGGAAGGAAGUUCGUUUAAAAGUUUUUUUGCAUCUUCAAUUUCCCCAUCUUUGCACAAACCAUUAAUCAGGAUACCGUAUGUGAAUAUAUUAGGAUUUAAACCUUUAUUUUCCAUCACCCGUAGAAACGAAAAUGCUUCGGCAAUUUGAUGAGUCUUGCACAAGCCUUCCAACAAAAUAUUGCAAGUAAAUAAAUCAGGAUGUACUUGUCGAGUUUCCAUAUCAUUGAAAAGUUUCCAUGCAUCAACAAUUCUUUCUUCACCAAGUAAUCCAUGUAUCAUGCUGUUAUAAGUAACUGUCGUGUGUUCUAAGCCUUUAGAAGAAGCUUCCAGAAAAAGACGCCAAGCUUCAUCCACUUUACCCUUCUUGCAAUACCCGUUGAUUAAAGAGUUAUAGGUGACAAUGCAUGGCUUAAGGCCGUUACCCGUUAUGGAAUAAAAAACUUGUUUCGCUUUAUCCAUUUUCCCUUGCAAACAAUAUCCAUCUAUCAGUGCAGUGUAAGUGAAAAUAUCAGGACUAAUGUUUUGUUGCUUCAUAAUUUCCAAAAUAUCUUCAGCUUCCUUAACACUUCCUUCCUUGCAAAAUGAGUCCACUAAUAUAUUGAAAGUAACAACAGUUAAACAAAUCUUGUGGUUGACCAUUUCAUCUAACAAGUGUUUCACCUCUUUCCAUCUACCAAAAUCGCACAAGCCCUGAAUCAUCGAGCUAUAUGUGAUAACGUCAGGUGAAAUGCCCUUAUCAAUCAUUCUAGACUUGAGCUCGAGUGCAUUAUCCACCAUUCCGGUCUUGCAUAAGCCAUUAAUUACCGCGUUAUAAGCCUUAACAUCGGGUUUAUAGAUAGUAGUUUUUUCCAACAACAAAAGCAAAUCACGGGCAGUAUGAACACGUCCAGCUUUGCAGAGCCCAUCAAUCGCAGUUAGAAUCGUAACAUCGUCUGGCUCACAAAGAUUCAAAGUCAAGAUCUUCUUGAACAAUUUCUCUGCCUCGGCCACAUUACCAUCUGAAAAGAAUCCUUUUAGGAGAGUGUUGAAUGUCGUAACAUCUGGCUCGUAACCGUGUUUAAGGAAGAUGCCGAAGAUAGCAAAACCAACGUCUAUGCGUUUCAAAAGGCAACAGCAAUUAAUCAAGAUGUUCAUGGUGUACUCGUUCAUAGGGGCAGCCGAUUGACGCAUUUCGUCGAACAGUUUAAGGGCAACCGAGUAUUGUUUCAUCUUGACAAUAACUUGCAGUAGUUUGGUGAAUUCAACAACGGAAGGCUGUGGCUGCAUUCUUACCAUUUGACGAAACAAGAAAAAAGCAUCGUCUAAUUCAUUUAUACAACUCAAAUCUAUUCUGGGCUUAGGUGAAAAGGAUCGAUCUUUGUGAAAAUUUGAACAGAAGAAAGAAAAGGGAUAAGUAAAAAUAGCGCAAUGGUGGGAAGAUUUAGCAAAUAAUGCUCUACGAAUUAGCAUUUCAGUUCCUCUCAUUUUUUUCAGCAAUUUCAGUGAAGAACGAACUGGUACCUACACAAGAAGAAGGCUCGGAGACUACCGAAUUUUUUUUAUUUGUUUUUUUUUAAUGUUAUUUAAGGGCAAAUUGCAUUGUAUCCCUAUCUUUUCUAAUGGCGGCGGUUAUACGCAAGCCCUUAAUACUAAUUUACCCUUAAUGAAAUUUAAAAUCAAAUAAAAAACACAAAACAUUAAAAAAUAAAAAAAAAUCAUUUCUUUUGUGCAAGACCAAAUAAAAUACAUACUUAAAAAUAUCCUCCUCCUUCUUCUCCUUCUUCACAAACCCACCAAGAAAUCCUAUACACCAAAAUUAUCAAAUACAUACCAAACAUUCACGAUGGAACCAGAAACAAUGAUAUGGUAGUUUACGAGGGUGAAGAACACAAUGAAGUAUGUUUUAACCGUUUAUUUUUGUUUUUGGGUCGUUUUUUUAUUUUGUUGGAAAAAAAACUCGACGAUACCAAAAAUCGGUCUGCAAAUACCGAUUUUUGUUACUAAAAUCGGUAACCACAUUCCGAUUAUUUUAAUAAAAAUCGGUACUUCAAAACCGAUUUUUGUAGUAAAAAUCGGCAUGACAACACCGAUUUAUUUUUGUAUUAUCGGUGUUGUCAUGCCGACUUGUACUACAAAAAUCGGUUUUUAAGUACCGAUUUUAUUAUCUGUGUUUUUUAAGACCGUUUUCUCAUACUUUCGUGCAACAACCUAGGGGAUUGAUAGAGGACUAUUCAAAUGAAUUAUCUAACGAAUAAAUAUUUGAGACACGGAAAGCUCUACUCGGUUGGGUUAAAGGAGUUGGUAGACGCCACCGAAUGGUGAUCAACAUUUUCGUUUCAAAUUUUUAAAAAAUAUCAAUUAACCAAAUAUAUAAUGUAUUAUUUAAAAAAAAUCCGAAAAAUAUCGGUAUUCGAAAACCGAUUUUGUACUCAAUAAUCGAUAUUAGAACGCCGAUUUUGAGUUGUAAAGUCGACGUUGUGUCGCCGAUUUGGUUAACAAAAAUCGGCAUUAUGACGCCGAUUUUCGUGUACAAAAUCAGUCUGGGUAAACCGAUUUGGGAAACCAACGGAAAAAAAAAAACCAAUUUCAAUCUCAAUUUUUUUUCCAAAAUCGGCCAAAUCAUUGCAACCCAACAAGAAAUAAGCAUAGAUUAAUGUUCAUUCAUACAUAUUUAUCAAGAAUCGAUAUUCGAUUAAUGUUUUCGAAUUUACAAAAAAAAAUUAGUAAAAAGGACAUCGAUACUCGAUUAAUGUUUUCGAAUUUACAAACAAAAGUUUAGUAAAAAGAACUCGCCGGUCGGCGUCGCGGCGGUCUGGCGGCGGCAGUCGUGAUAUUUUUUUUUGUUUUGUUUUUAGUUUUUUUUUUUUUUUUUUGAUUUUUGGUCUUGAACAAAUUAAAAAUAGGAUUUAUUUGUAUUUGAGUAUUAUUUGUGGAUAAGGGUAUAUUUGUCAUCUUUGGUCUUGAUGAAAUAAAAUUAGAUUAAUUUACGGGCUUGAACUAAUAAACUCCUUUAUGUGGUUUUGAAGUAAUAAAAAAAUGGGCUUGCAUGUAACCGCCGCCUUUUCUAAUUUCCGCACUUUCCCCUCAAAAUUAAAAAACAAAAGGACAAAUUUCUAGUUUUCGACACUUUACCCCUAAUGUUUUUAAAAGUGAAUGCCCCCUUCAAAAUGUUAUUCUUGUUGUACAUUGCCUCGAUGGCAGAACUCCGAUGGAUUAUUCAUCGUAAUUGAGUAUUUUUGUUGCACAUUGCCCCGAUAGCGAAACUCCGAUGGAUUAUUCAUCGGAAUUGAGUAUUUUUGUUGCACAUUGCCCCAUAAAAACAAUGCUUUUUUUUCACGUUGUCCAUUAAAAAUAUUAUUUUUGUUGCACAAUGCCCUAAAAGAAUUGGCUUCUGCGGCAAAGCGCAACCAAUAUAAUAUUUCAAGGGGGGUGUAUCCUUUUUUUAAUUUUUAGGGGCGAAAGUGCGGAAAUGAGAAAUUAUAGGGGGUGAAGUGCAUUUUGUCCAAAAACAAAAUCUUUGAGAGCCAUCUUGUCUCCGUGGGGCCCUACAAAAGCAAAACAUAUUACACCAUUGCUCUUGGAAGAGAGCCACCAGAGAAAUAAAUACCGUCGCUCCUCGCUUUGAAACAAUAUAUACCAUUGGUACACGUACAUGUCGUCCUUCAAAUGGGGCGUAAAUGCAUCAAAAGAUUCCACAUUCGCCACCAAAGAUGACAGAAGUAUAAAGUAUUCUUCAGUAAUAGUCUCGCAAAAUUUUCAAUUAAAGUAAUAAGGGUAAAUUCCACUUUACCCCCUUGUACUCUGCCCAAGAACCACUUUACCCCCUCGUACUCUUAAGGGUUGUAUUGGGAAAUUGUACAAGUACAAGGGGGUAAAUCGAUAAAAUUGAGAGUACGAGGGGGUAAAGUGACUCUCAGGCAGAGUACGAGGGGGUAAAGUGGAAUUUACCCAAGUAAUAAUUUGUAUCAAAGUAGUAAGUUCCUAAAUUGUUAUCUUAGAUGCGCAAUGCGAUCUCAUUCUGGGCAAUGGCAUCUUAUUGACGACGUGAACCUCGUAUUGCUUAGAAAGAAGGCAAAACCAUAUGUGUUGUUGAAUUAGGGUAGCUUCACCACAUAACCUCGCAUUUGACCCCCAUGUGGUUACAAGCUUUUGCAGAUGAUCCCAUUGCUCUCGUUAUAUCAGCACAUAACCCUCUUGUGUUUGAUAGGGGUAACUUCCGUUAGUUUUUCCGUUAAAAUUAAGUGCGCGUGUCAAACGUCAAAAUAUUAUAUUUUGCAGAUGACUCCCUUGUGCUUACACUUUCACUUUAAUUUUCUGCUGAUGACCCCCUUGAAGUUUGACACGCGCGGUUAAGUUUGACGGAAAAGCAAACGGACGCUACAUCUAUCAACCACAAGGGGGUUAUGUGCUGAUAUUAAAAGCAUAAGGUGGUCAUCUGCAAAAGCUUGUAACCAUAGAGAGGUUAAAUACUAUUUACCCAUCUUUUUAUGAUAAUUAUGUUUCGAUUUAUUGUUUUUGUCUGUAGCCGUUAGCUCCAAUAUGCGAUCUUUGCGGGAUCCAAAAGCCCACGGGUGAAAAGACGAACACUGCAAUUUUGGUCAUGUAGUUUUUGUACUUUAGAAAAUGAUGUGAAGAUGGAUAAAUGUGUUGCAUGUGAAGCCUGGAAAUAUUCUUAAGGUGCACAUUAGCUUUUCAGCACUGUAAAAGUAAAUUCGAUACUUUCUCUGCAAUUUCUUUUAAAACUAUAUAUUAGUUUAGAAAAAAAAUAAAAUAACUGAUUAUGUCAUUUGAGCGCUGUUUUACAAUGGUCGUUUAAUUAUGACCGUUGAUCUGCAACAAUCGUGAAAUGGUCAUAUUGGUUCGAGUUUUGGUGAACCCUUAUCUCAAUUUUUUUGGUAACAUCGAUCUAAUAAACUUGAAUUUCAUUAAACUAAAUCAAGAAACCAACACUCAUGAUUCACAAAAUUACAUAAUAGCCCUAGUUAGAGCCUAAGCCACCAAUUUCAACAGUUAGUAGUCAUUUCCCGACAAAUUUCAGUUAAAACUAACGGAAUCAAUAAAGAUCGUUACAUCGAUUAGGAAAAUCAAUUCUUAUAAGAAUAAGACAUCCAAGAUUAUUACAGACAUAUAUAAUUACAAACAUAUUUCGUAAAUAGUAAAAUAAAAUCUACAACCCCUAAUUUAAGUACACUCCAUAUAUGGAUGGAUUCAACAAGACGAAAAGUCGAAUAUUUCUAACCAAGCAAAACUAAAGCAUAACCACGUCUAAUUCAGUCUUUGAUGAUAGGAAAACAAAAUAUAGUAACCAAGCAAAACUAAAGCAUAACCACGUCUAAUUUCCUAUUUUUCCCUCACGGGAAUUUUUUUGUGGCCAAUAGAUGCUCCAGCUUAAUAUCAUAUCUUCAAAUACAAGCAGUGCCUCAACCAUCUCUGUCUACAAAAAGAAGAAGAAAUAUAUCGUUUUUAGUUAAGGAAAUAAAUAAUUCAAAACUAAAUGCAUAGUACUUUUAAAAAAAAAUUGUAUUAAUUAUUAGGGCAAAUUACGGCAACCCCCUAGGUAUGGCCAAAUUACGAAAAAACCCUAUUGAUUGGGUAAUUACGGCCACACCCUCCUUUUAAAUAUUUUUACGUAAAAUUUAUGUAAUUCGGUUAUUUACCGAACCAAAUCGUAUAUUAAGUUCGGUAAACGGUAUGAAAUGUUGGCGUACCGAAAUUGCAGUUCGGUUUUACCUAUUUAAUAUCCCCAAAUUUACCCACCAUAAGGGUAGGUGUAAGAAGAAAACAAACGUCGGGAAAUUUUGGUAAUUACGAAUAGGUGGGGAUGUUUUUCAUAAUUCAGGCUCAGUUCAGGGGGCUUUCAGUAAUUUUCCCAAUAAAGAAAUGUAAACACCACAAACUAAGAUGAUAAGGCUCAACGUAACUUCAAUAAAAUAUAUAAAUUAAAGUUUUAUAGUUACUAUCAAUCAGUUACAAAAAUAGGGCAAAUUGCACAUCACCCCCUAAAAAUUCUAAUUUUCGCACUUUAACCCCUCAGAAUUUUAAAAAAUGAAUGCCCCCUUCAAAAUGUUUUGUUGUUGCACAUUACCUCGAUAGCAAAAUUUCGAUGGAUUAUUCAUCGGCAUUUGAUAUUUUUGUUGCACAUUGCCCCUUUAUAUGUUAUUUUUAUUCCACGUUACCCCUUAAAAACACUAUCUUUUUGCACAUUGCUCUUUUAAAAUGUUAUUUUUGUGGACAAUGCCCAACAAAAAUUAGUCUUCUGGACAAAGUGCAAUCAAAAUAAUAUUUUGAAGGGGAAUUAUCCAGUUUUUGAAUUUUUAGGUGGGAAAGUGUUAAGUGUAUAUUUUUACACUUUAUCGUAUCUUCUUAUUUGAGCUUUUGGCGUGUUUUAACGAUAAUUGGUGCUUAAAAAGUUGAUUUAUUGUAUUUCAGGUAUAAAUUGAAGAAUUGGAAAAGUAUGGGGUCAAAACUGCAAUUUUGGAGAAAAUAUGGGCCAAAAGUGAAAAAACCAAAAUCUGGAGAUUUAAAGCUCGGACGGCCGUCCGAGUUUUAGUUCAAAUUAUGGGACGGCCGUCCGAGACCCCGAAACAGCGCAGUAAAGGGAUUUUAAUUGCACAAGGAAACUGCCUUCUUCCCCAAGUUCUUCACCCUAUAUAAGACCAAGCCAAGCACACAAUUUAGGAUCUAUCUUUUUACGCAAAAUCAAAAGCAAAGAAGAUCAACGAAGAUUCAAGCAUAGUUUUUCUUAUUUAAUUUAUUUAUUUUAUUUUAUUUAUCAUAAGAAUUACGAGUAGCUAAGUCUUUAUUUCUAGGAUUUUAUUUGGAACCCUAUGUGGGAUUUAUGAACCCUUUUCUAUGAUUUUAUGCAAGCUUUAAAUCCGGAUUAUUUCUUCUACUUGUAUUAUUAAGUGCAUGAACUUGAUCAACUUAUGUGCUUUUAGGUUAUUGUUAAUCGCAUGAAUCGGAAGAUCGGGUUAAUAAUUAGAACUGUGGUAGAAGAGCCUUUGUGGUAUUAACAUAGGAAUAUAGUUAAUCUCUUAGGUAGCCAUUAUUGAGAUUUGUGCUUAAUGCUUUGUUCUAGAAUUAAUUGCAUAGGAAUAUAGUAAUUGAAUCUAGAGUAUUAGAAUCGUAAUACACGCGGAAGCGGGUUAUGAUUAUUUUAGCAUCUCAGGUUAAUAAUCCGGGUUAAUUGCUUGCAUAAUUGAAGGAAUUGGGGGAGUAAUAAUCACAUAGGGGGAAGGAUAAAAUCCUAGGCUUGUUUACUCUGAUAAAUCUUCGUUUUAAUUGCUUUCUUGUUUUUGUCUUUUUAAUUGAUUUAGUUUAAUUUAGUUUAUUAAUCAUCUUUCGACUAUGUAGGGUGGGCUUGAUAAUAAUUGGUAGAAUUUAGCGUCUAGGAUUAGAUAAUUAAAUAUUCCCUGUGGGUUCGAUAUCCGGACUUUUAGUCCACUAUAUUACUUGUACGAUACGUGCACUUGCGUGUAGGUUUUCGGCCAACAAGUUUUUGGCGCCGUUGCCGGGGAAUAUUUUAAUUAUUUAUUUUAUUCUAGCUCUAGAUUUGAACAAUUUUCACGAUUCACCCAUUUAAUUUUUUGUUUUAGGUACGGUGUAUGCCUAGGAGACUCGAUCUUGCUAGAGAACCGUUUGAUCCCGAAAUCGAACGCACUUUUCGAGCCGCCAGGAGACGUCAACACGCAACCAAUACAAUGGAGGACGAAGAACGCAUACGCGCAGAGGGUAAUUUAAUCAAUGCCAAUGGAAACCAAGUCCAAGACCCACCUCCUCAACUUCUAGUACAGCCAGCAGUUAGGCCACGGGCACUUCAAGACUACAUAAUCCCGACUCAUGACGGAUUCCGCCCGAGCAUCCAAUAUCCACCUAUUGAGGCGCACAAUUUUGAGAUCAAGCAAGGCCUCUUGACGAUGCUCCAAAAUAACGGGUUAUUUAGUGGAUUGGCAGGUGAAGAUCCCCAUCUUCACAUUGUCAAUUUUCUAGAUACCUGUAACUCCCACCGUCAAAACGGCGUUUCCCACGAGGCGCUUCAAUUAAUUCUCUUCAAGCACUCCUUACAAGGAAGAGCUCGCCAGUGGUUGAUGUCCCAAGCCCCCCACUCUAUCUCGUCGUGGCCUCAACUCCUCAACCUCUUCAUGAAAGUUUACAGCUCACCCGAGAAGGACGAGAGAAUCCGACGAGAAAUUCACAAUUUUGUCCAAGAGCAAGGCGAGCAAUUAUACGAGGCAUGGGAGAGAUUUAAAACUCUUUUGAGGCAGUGUCCAACACAUGGAGUCGAACAAUGGCGGCAAAUCCACAUCUUCUACCAAGGGAUCAACGAGAAUGCACGAACCGUCUUAGAUGCAUCAACCGGAGGAAAUUUCAUGAGUCAAUCGAUACCGGAUGCAUUUAUCAUGUUGGAUCAAAUUGCACAAAAUCGGUUUGCGAAGUCAAGCGAGAGGACAGUUAGUGGAGCCAAGAAAGUUCCCGGAGUGUUGGAGUUAGAUGCAAUUACGGCCCUUCAAGCUCAAGUGAGCCAAAUUGCUCAACAAAAUCAACUCCUUCUGCAGCACAUCAAAGCAAGUCCACCACAACAAGUCCAAGCAAUUGCUUAUCCAUGUUGUGAAAUUUGCGGUGGAAAUCACUACACGCUCCAAUGCCAACAAGAUGUGGAGUCGCUCAACUACGUCAACAAUGCGCCUCGCCAAUUCCAAAAUCAAGGGUGGAGAUCACAAGGGCAAUAUGGAGGAAAUCAACAAGGCCAAGGGUAUCAAAGACCUCAAGGUCAAUUCCAAAAUCAAGCCCCUCCUCAACAAAGCUAUCAAGGCAACAAUCCACCGGCCCAAAAAUCAAGCACGGAGGAGAUAUUGGCCCAAUUCAUGACUGCUACCCAAGCCUCGCUGCGGAACUUGGAGAAUCAAUUCGCCCAAUUUGCUUUGAAUCAAGAGAAUCGUCCGGCGGGAGCAUUGCCAUCGAAUACGGAAGAUCCUCGAAAGCAAAAGUUCGAGACGUGCCAAGCUAUCGAUUUCAAGAUCGAGAAAAAGGAAGAAAGUCAAGUCAAGCCGCAAGUCACUGUAGCCGAAUGGGUCGAACCAAUCCCAUAUCCACAAAGAUUGCUAACGAAAAAGAUCGAAGACGAGACGUGCCAAGCAGUCACCUUGAAGAACGGGAAGCAAUUGGAGGAAGCCCCACGAAAAGAGAAGAGAAACACGGUAAUCGAGAAGCCAAAAGUAAAUGAGGAAAAAGAAUCAACUCAUGAAGAGCGACCAUCAACGGUGCCUUCACAAGCCCCUCCAAUUCCUUAUCCUCAAAAGUUUAUAAUGAAGAAGCUCGAUGCCGAAUAUCAAAGAUUUUUGGACAAGUUGAAGGAAAUUCACAUAAAUAUUCCUUUCAUUGAAGUACUUCAAAAGAUGCCAAAGUGGGUGAAGUUCCUCAAGGACCUCGUGAAGAAAAGUAAGAAAUUGCAAGGGAACGAGAUGAUCCAACUCACGGAGCAAAUUAGUGCAAUUCUUACUCGGCCUCUUCCACAAAAACUCGGCGAUCCAGCUAAGUUUACUAUUCCUUGUACUAUAGGAGGUAAAAAUUUUAGAUCGCUCAUUGAUUUAGGCGCUAGCAUUAAUCUUAUGCCGUACUCUACUUUUAAAAAUCUUGGGUUAGGAGAAAUUGAACCGACGGCUAUAACUCUUCAAUUAGCUGAUAGAUCUUUAGUUUACCCAAAAGGUAUUUUAGAGAAUGUGCUAGUGAAAGUCAAUAAAUUUAUCUUCCCUGUCGAUUUCGUGAUACUAGAUAUAGAUGAGGAUAGGGAGAUACCUCUUAUCGUAGGGAGGCCGUUUUUAGCCACGUCGAAGACGCUAAUUGAUUGUGCUAGUGGUGAUCUUACAAUGACUGUGCAUGACCAAACAAUCAAAUUCAAUGUUUUUAGUACUAAUAAAAAUCCAUGUGAUAAUAAUGAUUGUUUUGCUAUUGAGCUUAUGGAUUUUACAAAUAAUGAAAAGUUUGAUGUUUUGAUCUUGGACAAUGGGAAAGAAUCUUUGAGUGCAGGAGAUGAUGGCGGAAACGGGAAUCGGACGGAGCAAGUCUAUUUCAUGGACUCACUUUUAAAUCCUCCGAGAGAAAGUCAUGCGAGUCGAGGUCAUAACGACGAUGAGAAUGCAAGGAAGAUGUUGGCACCCAAAGGCUCGAGCAAGUCACGAGAGAAGGAUGAGUCAAGUUAUUGUGGUCGUAAGGAGAAAAUCAAAAAGGAAUUGCACAAAGGACAAUUGGUGUUAUUGUGCAAAUCCCGUCUUUGGUUAUUUCCAAGGAAGCGCAAAUCAAAGUGGUCGCGGCCGUUUAUUGUCCAAGAAAUUCUUCCUCACGAGGUGGACAAAAUAAAGGAGCGCGAUUCAAAUCAUACGUUCAACGUGAAGCGGAGCCGGCUCAAAUCGUAUUGGGAAGCGAGUGAAGAAUGCCAAGUGACUUCGGUCACUUUUGCUUGAAAAUAAAGAAGCAACGUGCGGCUGAAGACUUUAAACUUAGCGCUUCUCGGGAGGCAACCCGAGCUUUCGUUUUUAUUUUUUUAUGUUAUUUUAAAUUUUUAGUUUUGUUUUUAUUUUAUUUUUCUAAAAAAAAAAAAAAAAAAGUUUCAGGGGCACUAAUAAGAAGUUUUUAUUUUUCAGGGACCUAAUUGAAAUUAUUCACACGGCCGUGCAAGAAAAAGGCAGGAAUCUCACACGGCCGUGUGAGAUUUCGGUGAUGCUACUGCCCAAAAUCGCAAAAGGGCACGGCCGUGCGGAUUUUACACCUAAAUCUCGCACGGCCGUGCGAAAUUUGAAGAGGCUACUGCCCAAUUUUGAGAAAGGGCACGGCCGUGCGGAUUUUUCACCUAAAUUUCGCACGGCCGUGCGGGGAAAAAAAAAAAAAAACAAUUUCCAUAAUUUAACAUCCAACCCCUCUUUCUCUCCCACUUCGAACCCUAACCCCCUCUUUUCAAAAUUUUCGAUUUUCUUGGACCAAUUUCACCGAAAAUUCACCAACUACACACACAUACUACUUAAUCUUGGUGGAUUCUUGUUGAUUUGUGCAGGGAGGAUUCAAGAAAGGCAUUCUCAAAUUAUGAGGAAACGAGGACGUGACGGGUAGGGCACCUCACACGGCGAAAGCACUUCUAAAGGCAAAGGGAAGGGCAAGAAAACCGACGCUUAAACAGGUGUUUUCUAUCCUUAAACUUUGGGCGAAUCACAUUGAGGGCAAUGUGAAUUUUAAGUUUGGGGGUGGUUAACUACUUGUGUUCUUUUAUGUGCGCUUUAUUUGUGUUUUAAUUUUUUGUUUUAAUUUUCAUGCAGUAGGUUUUAUUUGUUUUAUUGCUUUUCUCGUUUUUCCGGAAUAUAAAAAAAAAAAAAAAAAAAUUGCUUGAGUCAAAUGCAUCUAUGAUUUAUGAUGAUGAGAGAUGAUCAAUGUUUGAUGAUGAAAUUGCUUGUUUUAUGUGAUAAGGAUUUGAUGUUUGUUUAGCUUUCGAUUCAACGGGACUUAGAAGUGAAUUAUUGUUAGGAAUCACAUUUUGUGCAGUGCUUUUGUUGAAUGUUUUGUAUUUUAAAUUUGGAAUUAAUUUGUGCUAGAUCAUGCUAUGUUCGGUUUUAAGACUCACCUUAGGAAAUUUAUGAUACGAAGUAUUGAGUAGUAAGUGAUUUGGGAUAUGAUUUGGGCCUUCUUUGAACCGUUUGAGCCUUUCAAGCCGACCUUUUUAUCGAAAUUAUCCUUAGAACCUGAUUUGAAGCUCGGAGAAAAGGUGUUCUUUCUUUUAGCCAAUAUGUAAGGUAGAAUAGGUGGAGAUUCUUGAAAAUUAUCCCGUGGAGUUCGGUCGAAAAAUUUAUAAGGUCCUUCUUCUUCUUCGAAGAAAAAAAAAAGAAAAAAAAAAGAGAUAAAUAUAUAUGCUUCUAUAUAUAUAUAUAUUUCUUCUAAAAAAAAAAAAAAAGAGAGAAAAAAGAAGAAGAAGAGACUAGAAGGGAGAAAUAAGGACUAGUUGUUGAAAUAUUUUUGAAAACUCGAUCCAUUGCCUCAAAAGCAAAAGUGGAGACUGUUGAACUUUUGAAAAUCGAGUUUAUUAAAGUCCGUAGAGGUGAAUUCAUUGUUUCAAACGCCUAUCUUUCAAAUUUUGGCGUAAUCACCUAAAUUCAAGAAGAAUAGCCACACAUACCCAUAUUUUCUACCUCGAACCAAAGAGCCUAACAAUUGAAAGCCACAAAGCCCCAAUGAUCCCAAUAGCUUAAUAUUCGAUAUUAGUAGAGUAGAAUAAUUUGGUGAGUAUUUGGAGUCAAGCAUAUGCAUGUAAGUAUAAAUUUUUUCUAUCUUUAAUUUGCAAAUAUUGGAUGCUUGAAGCAAUUGUAUGAAUUGUGGUUUUUGGUAAUGGUGAGUGACUAAGUGUUGUUGAAUUUUGAGCUUGCGAAUGCCUAAGAAUUGUCAUUAUAAUUACAAGUUCUGAAAACGUGAAGUUGGUUAUUGAUCUAUGUGAUGAGAUGUUAUCGUUGAGUUAUUUGCUUAUUGGUAAAUUUUGCUUGAGGACAAGCAAAAGUUCAAGUUUGGGGGUGUGUUAAGUGUAUAUUUUUACACUUUAUCGUAUCUUCUUAUUUGAGCUUUUGGCGUGUUUUAACGAUAAUUGGUGCUUAAAAAGUUGAUUUAUUGUAUUUCAGGUAUAAAUUGAAGAAUUGGAAAAGUAUGGGGUCAAAACUGCAAUUUUGGAGAAAAUAUGGGCCAAAAGUGAAAAAACCAAAAUCUGGAGAUUUAAAGCUCGGACGGCCGUCCGAGUUUUAGUUCAAAUUAUGGGACGGCCGUCCGAGACCCCGAAACAGCGCAGUAAAGGGAUUUUAAUUGCACAAGGAAACUGCCUUCUUCCCCAAGUUCUUCACCCUAUAUAAGACCAAGCCAAGCACACAAUUUAUGAUCUAUCUUUUUACGCAAAAUCAAAAGCAAAGAAGAUCAACGAAGAUUCAAGCAUAGUUUUUCUUAUUUAAUUUAUUUAUUUUAUUUUAUUUAUCAUAAGAAUUACGAGUAGCUAAGUCUUUAUUUCUAGGAUUUUAUUUGGAACCCUAUGUGGGAUUUAUGAACCCUUUUCUAUGAUUUUAUGCAAGCUUUAAUUCCAGAUUAUUUCUUCUACUUGUAUUAUUAAGUGCAUGAACUUGAUCAACUUAUGUGCUUUUAUGUUAUUGUUAAUCGCAUGAAUCGGAAGAUCGGGUUAAUAAUUAGAACUGUGGUAGAAGAGCCUUUGUGGUAUUAACAUAGGAAUAUAGUUAAUCUCUUAGGUAGCCAUUAUUGAGAUUUGUGCUUAAUGCUGUGUUCUAGAAUUAAUUGCAUAGGAAUAUAGUAAUUGAAUCUAGAGUAUUAGAAUCGUAAUACACGCGGAAGCGGGUUAUGAUUAUUUUAGCAUCUCAGGUUAAUAAUCCGGGUUAAUUGCUUGCAUAAUUGAAGGAAUUGGGGGAGUAAUAAUCACAUAGGGGGAAGAAUAAAAUCCUAGGCUCGUUUACUCUGAUAAAUCUUCGUUUUAAUUGCUUUCUUGUUUUUGUCUUUUUAAUUGAUUUAGUUUAAUUUAGUUUAUUAAUCAUCUUUCGACUGUGUAGGGUGGGCUUGAUAAUAAUUGGUAGAAUUUAGCGUCUAGGAUUAGAUAAUUAAAUAUUCCCUGUGGGUUCGAUAUCCAGACUUUUAGUCCACUAUAUUACUUGUACGAUACGUGCACUUGCGUGUAGGUUUUCGGCCAACAGAAAGUGCGAAAAUGGGAAAUUUGUAGGGGUGAAGUGCAUUUUGUCCUACAAAAUAUACUUUGAAGGAUUAAAAUGCCCGUGCACAAAGGCAAAACUCACAAGUUAGACCAGACCGACCAGCUAGCAAAGCCUUAUCAAAAACCUUAUGACAAGGUAGCAUGUUGGUAAACACCUUGCACCUAGAUCUGUUUGGUCAUGGGUUCGAGACACCAGGAGGGGAAUUGGGGAACCAAUAACUAUUCUUCUUACAAAAAAAAAAAAAAAAAAAAAAAAAAAAAACUAGCAAAACCUUAUCAAAACCUUAUCAAACUUCAGAAGUCCAAAUAUAUAAUUUAUAAUUUCGGCACAACUUUCUUAAUCAUAUCCAGAAGAAACUGAUCCUUGCAAGUGAUUAAUUAACAUGAAUGAAGUAGCUUCAUCGGCUGAGAAUCCCCUUUUGUUCAUUUCCUCUAAGAAUGGCAUUGCCUUGUCAAGUUCUUUCUUCUUCAACAAGCAAUGGAUAAUGACGUUGUAUGUCACGCUAUUCGGUACACAACCGCUUCUCUCCAUUUUUAUAAGCAAAUCUUUUGCCUCGUCGACAAAUCCAUCCUGACAAAGUGAAUCGAUAACAACUGUAUAAGCUUGACAGUUUGGUUGCAAACCUUGGACGGAAGUUCUUUUAAAAGCUUUUUUGCCUCUUCAAGUUUCCCAUCGUUGCACAAACCAUUAAUCAAGAUACCGUAUGUGACUAUAUUAGGAAUUAAUCCUUUGUCUUCCAUCACCCGUAGAAACGAAAAUGCUUCGGCAAUCUGAUGAGUUUUGCACAAACUAUCCAACAAAAUAUUGCAAGUAUGUAAAUCUGGACGUACGUGCCGAGCUUCCAUAUAGUUGAAUAGUUUCCAUCCAUCGGCAAUUCUGCCUUCACUAAAUAAUCCAUGUAUCAUGGUAUUAUAAGUAACUGUCGUGUGUUCUAAGCCUUUCGAAGAAACUUCGAGGAAAAGACGCCAAGCUUCAUCAACUUUACCCUUCUUGCAGUAUCCGUUGAUUAAAGUGCCGUAGCUCAUAAUACAUGGCUUAAGGCAGAAUCAAAUACUUGUUUCGCCUUUUCCAUUUUCCCUUGCAAACAAUACCCAUCCAUCAACGCAUUGUACGUGAAAAUAUCAGGACGAAUAUUUUGUUGCUUCAUAAUUUUCAAAACAUCCUCAGCCUCUUUAAUAUUUCCUUCCUUGCAAAAUGCGUCCACCAAUACAGUAAAAGUAACAACAUCUAACGGAAUCUUGUGAUUCACCAUUUCAUUCAGUAAGUCUUUGACCUCUUUCCAUCUACCAAAAUCGCACAAGCCCUGAAUCAUGGAGUUAUAUGUGACAACGUCAGGUGAAAUGCCCUUAUCAACCAUUCUAGACUUGAGCUCGAGUGCAUUAUCCACCAUUUCAGUCUUGCAUAAGCCAUUAAUUACCGCAUUAUAAGCCUUAACAUUGGGUUUAUAAAUAGUCUUUUCCAAUAAGAAAAGCAAAUCAUGGGCAGCAAGAACAUGUCCAGUUUUGCAGAGCCCAUCUAUCACAGUAAGAAUCGUAACUUCGUUAGGCUCGCAAAUUUUCGAAGUCAAAAGCUUCUUGAACAAUUUCUCCGCCUCGGCCACCUUACCAUUUAAAAAGAGCCCUUUUAGGAGAGCGGUGAAUGUCGUAACAUCUGGCUCGUAACCGUGUUUAAAGAAGACGCCGAAGAUAGCAAAACCAACGUCUACACGUUUCAAAAGGCAACAACAAUUAAUCAAGAUGGUCAUUGUGUACUCAUUUACAGGGGCACCCAGUUCACGCAUUUCGUCGAACAGUUUGAGGGCAACCGAGUAUUGUUUCAAAUUGACAAUAACUUUCAAUUGUUUGGUGAAUUCAAAAAUGGGGGGCUGCGGCCGCAUUCUCACCAUUUUGCGAAACAAGAAAAUAGCUUCAUCUACUUCAUUUGCACAGCUCAAAUCUCUUCGGAGGUUAGGUGAAAAAAGUCUAUCUUUGUGGCGCACGCUAUGAAAAUUUAGCAGAAAUUGCUCUACGAAUAGGAGGCGCUAUUGCAGAAAUUCUCAUCUUCUUAAAUCGAUUUUUGUGAAGAAAAUUCUACUGCAGUGCAAAAUGAAGUUGCACAAAGGUGCAGUCUGUUCUUUAAUGGUUAUAAAUUAUAAUUGACUAAUUACAUCUAGACCCCUUCAAAAUAGUAUAAUUACAAAUAAUUUUCAUUGACUCUAAAUUUUGCAACUAUCAAUAUGCAUUACCUUCCCUCUAAGUUUGUUUUAAUAAAAAGGGUUUAUUGCAAUUAGUACCCGUUUCUGUAUUAUUUAUGAUUCAAAUUUUGUUAGCACACAAGUACAACCCCUGACCGGGAGUUAGAGGGGUACUAACUGCAAAAAAAAAAAACUAAAUCACGGGGUGUUUUCCUUAUUUUAUGUUUUUAUUUAAUUAUUUCAGUACUUGAUUUGUCAGCAGUUUGUUAUAAGGUGCUGUGAAGGAAUGAGAAAGGCAUGAUCAAUUUUCAGAAUUUUAUCUCUCUCUCUCUCGUCUCCUUCUCUCUAUCCUUCUACUCUUCUUAUUCCCAAAUUCUCAUAAACCCUAGUAAUAUCCAAUCUAAAAAUACAAAAAUAUAUCGGAAUUUUACAUUUUACUAAUAAAAUAACACGGGAUAGUUUUUUAGCAAUUGGAUGUAACACCAGAGUACUAAUUGCAUUCAACUCCUAAUAAAAAACCCAAAGGAAAACAUAAUAAGGGUAAAAGAUAGCUUGAUGGAAAAAAAUAAAAAACAGUAGGACAUAAAACAAAUUUGGUUAAGCUACUACCAACACAGUAAAGGGGGAGUGUUAACCACAAAUUUUUCGAGUCUGCAAAAUAUAAUAAAAAUACAAGACAAGAAAAUAGGGAACAAAUAAUUUAUUAAUCAAAACGAUGCGGAUUACAAUCUCAGUAAUUCCCCUGAUUCUUCUCUCCUAUUCUAAUUUUGAUUCAAGGGCUUAAAAGCUUGUUCUUGAAUCGAAGCUAUGAUUUCCUAUCACGAACACCUCGAAUUUAAAUAUGUUAUGAAUUCGAGGAAUUGAACAUAUGAUUUCCUAUCACGAACCUCUCGAAUUCAAAUAUGUUAUGAAUUCGAGGCGGAGGCUCGAGACGUGAGCUUGAGAGCUCGAUAUGUGUCUGUGUGAGUCUGUUUUUUUAGAUGCACCAAAGAUCUUCUUUUAUAGGCACAAGCUAGGGUUAGGGUUUCUCGACUUGCACAGUGGGCCGGACAUUGUAAAGCCCAAAUAUGUUAUGGACUUUAAUUUGAGACCUAAAUUAAUAACCGAUUUAUCUUGGUUAUUAAUUAGUAAUUUAUCUCAAAUUUUCGAUAUCUACAGGGAGAACUAUUAUGAGCACAAACACUUCGCACAUUUUCUUGAUGUCAAGAGUUUUUAUGAUCCAACAAGGCAAGCCCAUUACUUAACCCAAGAAAACAUCGCAUUUUGGGAACACGUUGACUAAUAGGUAUUUCCGGUUUUUAGUUCUACAUUUUAUAAUAUAUUGUUGAUGUUUUAGUUAUAUGUUGCAAUUGUUGAUGACUACGACUAGGGUGGGGAGUGCUCACAGUUCGUCCAAGGGUUGGAUCUACCGGAGCUGUUAACUCCGUGCAAUUUCAGCUUGAUUCGGGGGUUGAGCUUCAACUAACCAGGAUUAAGACGGAUUUUUCAAAAUCCUAUCAGGAAGGACAAAGCAGUGUAUCCAGUUUUUCAAGGUUUGAUACGCAAUGUCACAUAUAAGGCAUUAGAUUUGUUGGAUGAUGAGCUCAGUAAACCAGUUGUACAAGAUUCGGCUAGCUCUACCCACGUUCUUAGUGUUACCCAUGGACUUCCGUGUGCUUACCAAAUUGAGAGAAAAAUCCAGGAACGUGAUACAUUCUGGGUGAAGAUGUGUUGCACAAGUUGUGUACGGAGAUAAUAAAAGAUGGAAUCGAGUGAGAAAUAUGAAUUUCAACUAAUGCUUAGCCAACAAAUGUUAUCGGAGCUCCGAUUUAGUUAACAAAUGUUGAAGUCAACUAAUGCUUAGCCACGCAUAAGGUUGCGUCACAUGGUUAGCUUAAUGUGGUCCACGUCUCUCAUAUGGUUUGCAAGCUAUCAUACGAGAGUGUAGGUUUAUCCAGUGCAUCUAUAUGGUUGGCCGCGGUUUCUUUUUACCAAAAAAAAAAAAAACUAAUGCUUAGCCAGCUAAUCGAAGCUCCGACGAUCCACCGCAAAAGCUAAUGUGUAGUAUGCUAAUUGAUCAGAGCUCCGACUACACUCGAGUUUCCGGAGAAGUUUUGGCCGGAAAUAGUCAAUUUCGUGAUUGGUGCUCCAAAUAAUAGAGUUUGGGGGGCAUCGUGCAACUUUUUUUUUUUAGUCUAGGGGGUAAUGUGCGAAACACACCAAAGUUUGGGGUGCAAAAUGCCAUUAACCCUUUUAAAUAUUUUGUUAGGUACUAACAAUAUUAAAUAACAAUAUAGCCCCCUAUUUAUACAUCUUGUACUAUAUUAGCUCUCUUUUUUUUAUUCUUUUUUUUUAGAAACUCUUUAAUUGUACAAUAUUAAAACUCUUUUUUUUUUAUUCAAAUGUAUCAUAUCAAUUCCCAAUAUAUCAAUAUUUUCUUUAAUUGGCCAUGUAGUGGGUGGUCUAGCGGUUGGAGUAAGAGAACAAGUGUAAAUUAACCCAAGUUCAAAUUUCUUGCCAACUGUUUUUAGGUCGAUAUAAAAUAAAAUAAAACAACUAAUUAAAACAAGGGAUACGUGGCAGCCAAAUCAAUUGAAUAUUAUAUGUAAGGUCAGUCAACUUAAAGAAUAAAUGGUAAAUUAUGAAAAUUCCUUGAACUUAGGCUAAAUUACGAAAACACCCCAUCUAUCCAUAAUAGUAAAAAGAGUUGUGAGUGUGUUAUUUAAGAAGAAUAAAAAUUCCGUGUAAAGGUCCUCAAGGAUAUUUUUUGUUUUUAAAAAGUAGCAUAAAGAAAUGCCACGUCUACAGGGGUAGAAUAGGCAUUUUUCGAAAAUAAUCCCUCGACUCAAAAAGAUUCCAUGAAAAAUCCCACCAUAAGGGGCAGGUGUAAGACGAAAACAAACGUCGGAGAGUUUUAGUAAUUACGAAUAUGUGGGGAUGUUUUUUAUAAUUCAGGCUAAGUUCAGGGGGUUUUUUGUAAUUUACCUAAUAAAGAAACACAAACUCCACAAAAACUAAGAUGAUAUUACAACAAUUAGUCAUGAGGGUAAAAUCGGUAUUUGCUGAGUGAUAGUACAUGAAAUAAAAAAAUCCGUCAAAUUUCACACCGUAAAGGGGAACUUUGUAUGACAACAACAACAAACAUUAGGGGGGUUUCGGUAAUUACAAACAACGUGGAGAUUUUUUUUUCUUAAAUCGACCUUAGUUCUCGCAUAUGAUAAAUCAAUAUGUAAAGCACAACUUCGACGUAUCCAAUUUCACUUUCAUUUUUAUUCCUUUGUUUUGUUUCGUGCGUAGAAAUAAAAAUGCACCGGUAGUCUACUUUUUGACUGUAUGUUUCUCGGUUUUAUUUUUCAAUCAUUACAUAGAUUUUAUACAUCUCUCAACAUCGAGCACACGCACGAAUUGCGUGGGACCCGGUUAGGGAGCAAUUUGGAGCCGGUAGAUCGAUCAAACGCUUGGAUUGCUCUCGAUAAACGUAUUGGUCGCGUCGAAAAGUGACCGUAAGUGGGCCAAACGAGCAAUUUUCACCUCUAGUGUUGGGUCGAUGGUGGCUGAACGAACUUCGCGUGCAUAUGCUGAUCAAACAAAAUAUUUCAAGUAUAUAAAUUAGGAUGUAUAUGCCAAAUUUCCAUAUCAUUAACAAAGUUUGAAUUUGUUAUCAACUUCUGAAAAUAUUGACAUUUUGUCAAAAGGGUUACUUCCGCCCCCUAAAUUUAACAUAGUGAUUUAAGAUUAUGGAUGUGUUGAUAUACACCCAUAAUAUGGAAAAUAUAUAGGGAUAGGUCCACCCCUAAAAUUCUUUCUUUCUAAUAGACAAAAAGACUAUGAUGCCCCUUACAUACAAUUUUUGCCCUAACUGCAUUAACAUUUCCACCAAGUGCAUAUAGCAUUUUCGUUUUAUUUUUUAAUAAUUUUUUUAUUAAAAAUAAUAAAAUAUACAUUUUAUUUUCUUAAAAAUUUCUGAUUUUUUUUCCCGAAAAGUUUACAUACUAUUUCGAAUAUGACUAUAGUCAACUAUAGUCAUAUCCUUUCUUCAUAUAUCGUUUUUUUAUAUUUUCUACUUAAAAUUGUAUAUUCUCAAUUAUAUAAUGUAGCUCAGUCAUAUUAAACAAAUUUUAAAAAAAACUAUUAUUUAUGAAAUAAUCAAUCAACAUUCACAAAUAAACAAAAAAAAAUCAUAAUUUGAAUCUUGUUAUUACAAGUCAACUUUCCACAAUAUGUAUCCAAAAUUCACAUGUGUAAAUUUUUCAACUGAAACAACCAUCAACAUCACUGUACAUUAAAAAAAAGUUACAUAUCUUAUAUAUAACUAUACAUAACUACAUAGUUGAUUCUCUCUAAUUGGCCAGUUGUUACCCAUCUCCUUCAACAUAGAAUUUUUUUGCUGCAACUAAAUUCUACACCAGAAAACACCAAAAAACAUACAGAGAUCGAGAGGAGAUAGAGGAAUAGGGAGAAAGAUACUUUAACCUCAGAAUUUGACGGCGGUGGAUGACUCAAAACGAUUGAUCAAAUCACAAUCACACAAAAAUCUAAACAAAUAAAAAAGUACCCAAAAAAUUAAUAUACCCUUACUUUGGUCUAAGAUCUCGCGGCGGUGGCAAAAACUCAACAACGGCUCCUAUCUAUUCUCUUCCCUGACUUUGGCCUCUAAUCUCACGGCGACGGUGACAGAGGACUCCACAAAUUCCGAGGAGCGGCACUAGACGGAGGGGGGGAGGCGCUUAAAGGGUGGAGGGUUUGUGAGUUAACCUGCUUCAACACAUUGAAGAUGUCGAUCUUUUACAUCUCCACGCUCUUCUUUGUCCUCUUCUUCUUCUCUCCUCCGACGACCACCUUCUUUUCUGCCUUGGGAGCCAUUUUUUGUCGCUGAAAUUUGGCGAGAAAGAGUUAGAGAGAGAAAUGAAGAGGUAGAGAGAAGGAGAGAUGUAACGACGGGAGGAAGAGGAAGAGAGAAGGUUAGGGGUUAGGGCAUUUAUUCAAACUAAAGGGCAAAACACGUACAGUUACCCAGUUGGGAGGUCUCACAAAUUAAGAUCACAAUUUGGUUUUUUUACUAUGACGAAGAAAAUUAUUGGACCUCCUCGUAUAUAUUUUCAAAACUAAUGGUAUCACUCAUUAACCCUUUAGAAUAUCUAUUAGGGAAGCCAUAGAAACAAAAGAAAUAAAUGACUAUAUAAAGUUAAAUUUUCCAUAUGUUUGAUAAAUGAAUAUCUAUUAGGGAAGCACACAUAUCCAAAUUUUUCUCUUCUUUCUAGUCAAAAUACCGACGGCUUGUUAUCUUUCCUACGCCACUAUCCACCCAUAAUAUAAGGAUUGCGACAACCGAAAAACUCACAAGUCAGAAGUACAUAUACAAAAGUUGUAUCUCAGCUACGUUACCUGCAAAAAUAUUAAAUAAGCAAAACCUUAUUAAAUUUGAGAAGCCCAAAUAAUUAAUUUACAUUUUUGGCACAAGUUUCUUCAUCAUUUCCAAAAGAAUAUCGUCUUUGUUUGAUCCUUGCACGUGAUUAAUUAACAAGGAUGAAGUAGAUGCGUCGGCAUAGAAUCACCUUUUGUGCAUGUCCUCUAAGAACGGGAUUGCCUUGGAAACCUCAUUCUUCUUUAGCAAACCUUGAAUUAUGUUGUUGUACAUCACACUAUCCGGUGCACACCCACUCCUCUCCAUUUUCACAAGCAAAUUUUUUGCCUCGUCUACACACCCUUCUCGGCAAAGUGAACCGAUAACAAUGGUAUGCGCUUGACAAUCAGGUUGCAAACCUUUAGAAGGAAGUUCGUUUGAAAGAUUUUUUGCAUCUAUAAUUUCCCCAUCUUUGCACAAACCAUUAAUCAGGAUACCGUAUGUGAUUAUCUUCCAUCACCCGUAGAAAUGAAAAUGCUUCGGCAAUCUGAUGAGUCUUGCACAAGCCAUCCAUUAAAAUAUUGUAAGUGAAUAAACCGGGAUGUACUUGCCGAGCUUCCAUAUCCUUAUAAAGUUUCCAUCCAUCAGCAAAUCUACCUUCAAUAAUCCAUGUAUCAUGGUAUUAUAAGUAACCGUCGUGUGUUCUAAGUCUUUCGAAGAAACUUCGAGAAAAAGACGCCAAGCUUCAUCCACUUUACCCUUCUUGCAAUAUCCGUUUAUUAAAGAGUUAUAGCUGAUAAUACAUGGCGUAAGGCCGUUUAUUCCAAACCCACUCAUCUUCUUCAGCUAUUUUAUGAAGAUAAUUUACUUGGUCAAUGGAAAGUGUGGUAAUUACUUGGUCAAUGGAAAGUGUUGUAAUUACUUAGAGAGUGGCAGUUUCUGUAAUUACUUGGUCAACGGAAAGUGUUGUAAUUACUUUGAGAGUGGCAGUUUCUGUAAUUACUGCUAAAUAAUUAUUUGUUGAGCGUGAGUUCUCUAAUUGUUGCUGAGUGGCAGUUAUGUAUUCAUUUGUUGAGUGUGAGUUCUGUAGUUGCUGCUCAUAAGCAUUUCUUUAAUUAUUUGUUGAGUGGUAGUUUUGUAAUUACUUGGUGAAUGAUUAUUCUGUAAUUAUCUGUUGAAUGCCAGUACUGUAAUUACAUGUCGAAUGGCAGUUCUGUAAUUAAAUGUUGAGUACUAGUUUUGUAAUUAUUGAUGAGUGACAGUUAUGUAAUUACUACCGAGUAGCUGUAAUUACUUGUUGAGUGAAAAUUCUUUAAUAACUUUUGAGUGGCAGUUCUGUAAUUAUUUGGUGAAUGACAAUUCAGUAGUUAUUGGUAAAUGGCAGUUCUUUAAUUAUUUGUUGAGCGACAAUUUUAUAAUUGCUGUUGAGUGAUAGUUAUGUAAUUACAGGGUGCAUGUCACUUCUAUAAUCAUUGAUGAAUUGCAGUUCUGUAAUUAUUUGUUGAGUGGCACUUCUGUAAAUACUUGUUAGUGGCAUUUCCAUAAUUACGAUAUUGAGUGGCAUUUCUGUAAUUACCAAGUGUGUGAACAUUAUGUAAUUACUUGAUGCGUGACAAUUCUGUAAUUACUGUUAAGUGGCAGUGUUGUAAUUACCGGUGAGUAGGAAUUCUUGUACUGUUGAAUGUCAAUUUUGUAAUUAAUGUUGAAUGGCAGUCAUGUAAUUAUUUGUUGAGUGGUAGUUCUAGAAUUACUUGAUGAUUGGCAGUUCUGCAAUUGCUGUUGAGUGGAAAUCAUAUAAUUACUUGGUGCUUAGCAAUUAUGUAAUUACUUGAUGAUCGGCAAUUUCGGAAUUACUAUUAAGCAGUGUUCUAAAAAUCGGCCGAGGCGGCCGAUUAAUCGGUCUCCGAGGCGGAGGCGGUCCAAAACCUUUACGAUUUUAGUGUAAAGGUUUGAAAAAUCGGUUUUUUGCCUGUGAGGCGGUCCGAGGCGGUCAAACCUUUAAGGCGGCAAACUCGGUGGCAAAAAUCGGUUAAAAAUCGGUUUUUUUAUUUUAUUAUUUUUUUUAUAAUUCAAAAGAAAAGUUGGAUUUUAAUAAAAGAAAAUAUGAGUUUAUGCCUUAUUUUGUUUAUGUUAAUUGUUAUUGUUAAAGAACUAAUGAUCUUAUAAUUAUUAAACUUUCAUUAUGUUAUUAGGAUAUAUACAUGAUGGAGAUAUAACUAUGUUUAAAUAUCUUUUUAUAUAUGUUUGGAGUAUUUAUAAAUAAUAUUUAGAAAUAUAUUAUAUUAAAUUUUCAAAACCGAUUUAUUUCCGAUUUAUCACCGAUUAAUCACCGCCGCACCGAUUAAUCGUGAGUCGGUGCCUCACCGACUCGGAUCCGAUUAUCGCUUUUUACAACCUUGCUAUUAAGUGGCAGUUCUGUAAUUACUUGGUGAGUGGUAGUUCUGUACUUACAUGUUGAAUGUCAAUUCUGUAAUUACUUGGUGGGUGGUAGUUAUGUAGUUAUAGUUGAGUUGCAGUGCUGUAAUUAUUAGGUGAGUGACAAUUAUGUAAUUACGGAUAAAUGACAGUUAUGUAAUUAUUGGUUAAAUGACACUUCUAUAUAUACUAUUGAGUGGCAGUUCUAUAAUUACUUGGUGAAUGGUAUUUUUGUAAUUACCUGGUGAGUGGUACUUCCGUAACUAAUGCUUAAUGGGAGUUAUGUUAUUAUUUGUUGAGUUAUUAUUUGUUGAGUGGCAGUUUCUUUAACUACCUGGUGAGUGACAGUUCUGUAAUUACAAUGUUAAGUGACAUUUCCUUAAUUACUUGGUGAAUGGUAAUUCUGUAAUUACUUGGUGCGUGAAAGUUCUCUAAUUAAUGUUCAGUGGUAGUUCUAUAACUAAUCGAUAAGUGGCAAUUCCGUAAUUACCUGCUAGAUGCACUUCUUUAUUUACCUGUUGAGUGGCAAUUAUGUAAUUAUUUGAUAAGUGGUCGUUCUGAUAUUACUAUCGAGUGACACUUUCGUAAUUACUGGUUGAGUGGUAGUUCUGUAAUUACAUGUUGAGUGGUAAUUUUGUAACUAUUUAUAAGUGGUAAUUUUGUAAUUACCUACAAAGUAGUAGGUUUUAAUUACAUAGUGAGUGGCAAUUACGUAAUAAUUCGGAGAGUGACAUUUCUGUAAAUACUACUAUAUGACAGUUCUGUGAUUAUUUGUUGAGUGUAAAAAAAAUAAUUAUUUGAGGAUCAAUUUUGUGCGAGAAAAAGUUGACCAAAACUGUAAUUGUCUCUAGUUAGAUAUGUAUACGAUACUUUUUAGAAAAAAAUACAUAUAAAAUUUUAUAAGCGGUUGCAUUAGAUAAAUGAUACUCUAUAUGUUCUACAAUAACUGUCUAUUUUUAAAUAUAUUUUGUUUUAUAUUAUCUGUCACUUUAGAUUUCCAAUACUACAUUAAUUACUUAAUUUCCAGUUUAUACCCUUAUAAACUCUUUCUAAUACUUCUUUUUUUAAUUCAUUUGUCUCUCUUAUUAAUUAUAAGAUAAGUUCAUUUCUGCCUAAAAGCAUACAUUUUUCAUAAAAUCAAGACACAUUUAAUGGAAUCCUUAAUCCGUGUGCAAAUCUAAAUACGACUAUUAAAAGGGAACUGAGGGAGUACUUUUUAAGGAAACAUAUAUUUUUUAUUUUCUUCCCCAAAAAAUCCAAUCCUUCUUCGAAACUUUCCAAAAGAAUUCCAUAACUUUCCUAAAUAUAGUAAUCACAUGAUUUUCGAAAAUAACCAAAUAACGAAGGGUCAAUUAGGGAGAACACCCCCCCCCCAUUAUUUGUUUGGGUCUUAUGAUAUAGGUCCCUGGUGACAAAACUAAUAAGAACUAAAUGACAAGCCCAACUAAACUUUUGUUUCACAUCCUUUAUUAAAUUCAUUCCAAAAAUGCUCCUCCACAUAUAAAUUCGAAUUUGUUGUAAGCAAAAUUCAAACAACAUUUAUCGUUUUAUUAUACAUUUAAUAUCUUCAUUUUUUCAUCUAAUAAUAUAUUUUAUUUUAUUUUUACCGACGUGGUCAUCUUUAUUUUUUCGUUUUUCACUCUAGCAAUUUUUACUUUAUUAUAAUUAAAUUUUUUUUAACAUUUUAUUGAAAAUUACGGAAAAUAAAUUUUCGGUUUUUGUCCAAUAAUACAGUAGAUUUUAAAAAAUACUAUGGUGCACUAUGGUAUACUAUGGUAUGCUAUGUUAUGGCGGCAUACUACGGUAUACUAUGGUGUACUACUCCGAACUCUAUCAUUCAACAACUUACAACCGCCGCCAAACCCUAACUUCCAACAUCUUCCAACCACCACUAAAUCAUAGCAUCCAACAAAAUUCAGUCGCCGUCAAAUCCUAUCUGCAAAAACCUAGUCGUCCACCGUACCAACCCUAGCCGCCGACCAAAUUAAACCCUAGCCGUUGACCAAUUUAAACCCUAGCCGCCAUAGCCGUUGACCAAAUUCAAACAUAGUUGUCGACCAAAUUAAACCCUAGACGUCGACCAAAUUAAACCCUAGCCGCCAUAGCCAUCGACCAAAUUAAACCCUAGCCGUCAACCAAAUUAAACCCUAGCCGCCAUAGCCGUCGACCAAAUUAAAACCUAGUCGACAUAGCCGCCACCAUCCGCCAUAGAUAUGACCUCCACCACCAUAGUCGUCGACCUCUUGCCUCCAUAAUUAUCCCCUUAUUGUCGCCGCCUCCCUAACUAUGCUACAUCUAAUUAUGUUUUCAACUAGGGACCUCUAGCAUAUUAACCCUUUAUUUGUUUUCAUAGAACUAAACUCACUUUGUUAUUUGUAAUUGAGAGACUCCCUAACUUCUCAUAACUCCAUUUUACUCAUACAUUAUUCCAUAUUUCCACCCAUCUUACCCACUACGUAUGUAUCGUUAUAUUUUCUACUUUUUUUUUUAAUAAAUUCAUCUUUUUGUUUCCUGGAAGAUUUACCGCAUCAUAAACAAUUCAACAAAUCAAAGAAACUCAUUUAACAUGUAUCAACAAAUCAAAGAAACUCCCAUUGGAAUUUUUAUCUUUGGCCCAAAAAUCUGUCAGAGUUGUAGUAAACCCUAGUCGAUUGAGAGCAACGGUAACAUCUGCUACUGCACAUCAUUUACGGUAAUCUCUUUAUUUCUUUCUUGUUCCAAUUUUUAGAGAAAUAUCUAUAUUCCAUUGGAGGUUAUUUACCCAGUGAUAUUUCAAGAGAUCAAAACGAGGAGAACAAAGCAACAAUUUAGUACACUGAGAUUUGAGAGAACAGAAGGUUUGUUUAUUUGUACAAUUUUAUUUUUUUACUUAGGUUGUUUUAUGUAUCAUUUAUGUGCAUAAAAGUAGUAAGAACUUUUACAGGUCUAAUUGCAACUCUAUAUCUGCAACUUAAUUUACUAUUAAGCAAUGGAUUUUUCGUUUUUUUACUGAAAGUUCAUAAUCUUGCAGUUUCGUCGACUCACCCUUUCUUGCAAAUUAGUCUCUCUGUUUCAUGUGGUAUGUUCUUAAAUAGCCUUUAAUAAUUGUUUUAAUUCAACAUUGAAACUAUUGUCAACUAUUCAAAGUUGCUGAGAAUCAGCAAGUAAAUUGAUGAUUGGGAGUUUAUCACUCUGUAGAACAAGGUAAGUAUCAUUUAUCAAGUAGACAAAUGCCUUUCCCGAGCCACACAAUAUAAAAUAAAUAAAAUUGUAAGUUGUUUUUACUAUUAACAUGCUACUAAUAUAGUAUUCUUCAUCAUUUUUCAUAAGAAUGUCACAGGGCAUCAUAUGCUUGAAAUUGAUUGGUGAUGUGGUUUGCUUCUGGACAUGUGCAUAUGCUGGAAAUGUUUACUAUACAGAGACAACAUGCUCCUUAUUGAAGGUUUAUAUUUUUUAUAAAAUUAUCUACCUUAUUUUGAUCAUAUCAAAUUUUAGUUUUGCUUAUUGGUUCUUCUAUGUUUGCAGUCAAGACAAGUGGCCAAAGAUCCAGCCAUAUGUGAAAAUAUACUCUAACAUAUUGCAAGAUUUUCUCAAUUAUAAGCUCUAUUAAUCUUUUUUUUUUCUUCAUAUUAUCUAUUUCUCUAAUAUCUAGCUAAUAUCUCGUGAAUUUUCUUCUAUUUUGCUACAGCAAAUGCUACAUUUGAAGGUAAAUAUUAUACCUAACUAGUCAUUAGUAUCUAAGUUGUCUUCUUAGGUUAAGUCACUAUUUGGCUAAUUACAUUUAUGUUGUCUUUCUAUUAUGAUAUAACAAGCUUGACUUUUUAGGAUGGGAUUCAAGUGAAAUCAUGAAGAUCAAGCCCAAGGAUCUCAUGAGAGAUCAUUACACUCGAAAGCAUAUAUGAAUGACUAUGUUGCAGGCUUUUCAAGACUACUAUUAGCAUUUGUAAUUCAAGUUUAUAGUAUUGUCCUGAUUUUGUAUGUAUGAUACUUUUAUUGGUAUAUAAUAUAUUAAUAGGUAUUAACUUAUGGCAUUGAUACGUGUCUCUGUGUGUAUAUAUAUAUAUAUAUAUAUAUAUAUAUAUAUAUAUAUAUAUAAUCAACUAAUUUUUUUUUUAAUUUUUUUUCUUUAUUUACUAAAAUUAUAAUCAGCUACAAAUUACAGUAAUCAACUACAAAAUUUUAUUAGAUAAUCAACUAUAUUUUAUUAGGUAACCAACUAUAAUUUUAACGUACGUACAAUUCAAAACAACUAUUUAUUAUAACAAAAACAACUGUUCAAAAUCAUAAUCAACUAUAAAAUCACCGAAAGCAACUACAAAAGUCACCGAAAUCAACUACAAAAUCAUCAAAACCAACUACAAAUUAUUGAAAUCAGCUACAACAAAACAAAUGUAUUUGAACAACAAGGAAAGUAAAAAUAAACUACAUAUCGAAAAAAACUCAAAACCAUAGGUCUUGAAUUAGAUACAUCAAUGUCCAGCUUUUAUUUACAAAAGGUUCGACGAUUUGGAUAUCUGUGUACCAUGAGUGUAUCUCUGUUAUUAUUUUUGUACAGUGACCCCGCCAGUGGUAUUUAUCCAGUUGACUAUUCACCACUGAACAAAACCACCUCCGCCGUGAAAAAUAGGAGAGAGCAAAAAGGGGAUUGAUCAGCGACGAGCGUUUUCGGAAGAUUGGUCCGUCGAACUGUUCUACUGAGCAGUAACUCUGGCGAAUUACUAUCAAAACCCUUCAAUUCACACAACUCCCCUAGGGGCACAAACGUAUUUGUCGGCUUCUUUUCUCUUAUUCCUCUCCGUCCGGUGGCUGUUUAAAAUUAACCUCCUUAUCUACGCUUAUCUCAAUGGAGUCAUAUGAAAUGUCUGCUCAACAUUUUAAUUCCAAUCGAAUCGAUAAAACGUUAUGGCUUUGAAGUGGAUUGACCGAGAAGAGAGGGGGAAAUAGUUGAAUUGUGUCACCAACCCUCAUUAUGAGAGUUGGUAUCUAGCCUUUACCAGUAGGGUAAAGCCUUUACCAAUAGGGUAAAGGUCUAGGUUCGAGUCCCUCACUUCCCUACUUCCCCUUGUACUGAACUUGAAUUUACUCCAAAAAAAGAAAAAAAUGUGUCGCAAGAGAGAGAAGGGGGAGAGUGGAUGAGUGAAUGAUAACGUGUUUCAAGAAGUAGGGCUAAUGAAGUAAAAAAGGUAACUUGGGUAUAUUAGGUAGCAAACGAUUUAUGAUUAAUUUAAGGGUUAAUAUACUAGAGGUACCUAGUUGGAAACAUAAUUAGAUGUGAGAUACAACCCUAAUAUAUUGUUCUGAACUAAAUCAUUUUUACAAAAAUAAAUAUGAUCUAUAUCUUUUACAUUUUUUUAUCCCAAAUUUGCUCUCAACCUAAACCAUAAAUUCUACAGUCACAUUUCUCUCAGAUCUAUUUGUUUUAUUUCUUCCCUCUUCUCUCUCGUCUCGCUCGUUCUCUCUGCUCUCUCUCACAGUACGCUAUCUCUCUCUCUCUCUCUCCCUCUCUCUUUCUCUCGUUCUCUCUCUCUCUCUCUCUCUCUCUCUCUCUCUCUCUCUCUCUCUCUCUCUCUCUCUCUCUCUCUCUCUCUCUCUCUCUCUCUCUCUCUCUCUCUCUCUCUCUCUCUCUCUAUCUCCAUUACUUCACUCCAUUGUUGAGGAGGGAUGGCUAUGGCGACAAUAAGAUGAUGGUUAUGGAGGCAGUUGACGACGACGACUAUGGUGGUGGAGGUCUGAUCUAUGACGGAUGAUGGCGGCUAGGUUUUAAUUUGGUUGACGGCUAUGGCGGUUUAGGGUUUAAUUUGGUCGAGGGCUAUAGUUUAAUUUGGUCGAUGACUAUGGCAGCUAGGGUUUAAUUUGGUCGAAGGCUAGGGUUUAAUUUGGUCGGCGGCUAGGGUUGGUGGACGACUAUGUAUUUGCAGAUUUGGUUUGGUGGCGGCAGCUGAAAUUUGUUGGCUGUUAUGAUUUAACAGAGGCUGGAAGAUGUUGGAAGUUAGGGUUUGGCGGCGGUUGGGAGUUGUUGAAUGAUAAAGUUCAGAAUAGUACACCAAUAAUAUACCGUAGAAUACUAUAGUAUACACUAUACAAUAGCAUAGCAUACCAUAGUAUACCAUAGUACACUAUAGUAUUAUAUUAAAGAUCUGCUGUAUUAUUUGAUAAAAACGAAAAAAAUAUUUUUUUCGUAAUUUUCAAUAAAAUUUUCUAAAAAAAAGUUACUUAUAAUAACGUAAAAAAUGCUAGAGUAAAAACGAAUAAAUAAAGAUGACCAAGUCGGUAAAAAUAAAAUAAAAUAUAUUAUUAGAUGAAAAAAUGAAGAUAUUAAAUGCAUAAUUAAAUGAUAAAAUGCAGUUUGAAUUUAAUUAACACAAAUUCGAAUUUAUGUAUGGAGGGGCAUUUUUUGGAAUGAAUGUAAUAAAAGAUGUGAAACAAAAGUUUAGUUAGGCUUGUGAUCAUUUAGUUCAAAUUAGUAUUGUCACCAGAGACCUAUAUUGUAAUAGCCCUUAGUUUAAAUAUCAAAAGGGAUAUUGGUAAAAGACAAAUAUCAAAUGAGUUGGUAACUUAGUAUUAUGUUCAAAUGUGAUUUGAGGGGUCUUUCUAAUUAACCAAAGAAAUCUAAAAGGGAACAUUACACAUUUCGUCCCUCAAGUUUACCUUGAUUUCACAUUUGGUCCCCCAAGUUCACAAAAAACAAGUUUAGUCCCUCAUAUUUCAAUAAUUUAACACUUUUAGAAUCAAGCAUGUGUGCAUUACUUUCUUAACAGACAGACUAACGUUAAAUUGAAGAAAAUGACAAAAAAAUGUCAAAUUGUUGAAACAUGAGGACCGAAUGUGUGUUUUUAAACAUGGAUGUCCAAAUGUGAAACCAGUGCAAACUUAAGGGAUGAAAACUGUAAUUUUCUCAAAUCUAAAUAUUAGGUUCUCAGCCCAAAUCAUUUAAGUUGUAGGAGAAUUAAAGGGCGGAAAGAUGGGAUGUGCAUUUCAUUUGAAAGGAUAUUCACUAGGCCAACAUGAUAUACACAUUUAUAUACACGCUUCAAUCGGAAACACAUCGCAAAAAAUCGUACCAAGUCAUCGCAAAACUUUGUUUUAUUACAGAAGCUCAAAUAAAUAAUUUAUAUUUUUGACACAACUUUCUUCAUCAUUUCCAGAAGAACAACAUCUUUCUUGGAUCCUUGAAGGUGAUUAAUUAACAUGGACGAAGUAGAUGCGUCGGCUAAGAACCCCUUUUUGUGCAUUUCCUCUAAGAAUGGCAUUGCCUUGUAAACCUCUUUCUUCUUCAGCAAGCCCUGGAUUAUGUUGUUGUAUGUCACGCUAUUCGGUGCACAACCACUUCUCUCCAUUUUUAUAAGCAAAUCUUUUGCUUCCUCUA
Molecule: long non-coding RNA, 37221 nt
Filed under: Erythranthe guttata (spotted monkey flower)
Lineage: Eukaryota; Viridiplantae; Streptophyta; Magnoliopsida; Lamiales; Phrymaceae
Description: long non-coding RNA (EGUT_LNC000623)
Source: RNAcentral